Molecule: ribosomal RNA, 253 nt
Filed under: uncultured bacterium
Lineage: Bacteria
Description: partial 16S ribosomal RNA
Rfam family: Bacterial small subunit ribosomal RNA
Source: RNAcentral
CACGUAGGGUGCGAGCGUUGUUCGGAGUUACUGGGCGUAAAGAGUGCGUAGGUGGUGCCCUAAGUCUGUUGUGAAAUCUCCCGGCUUAACUGGGAGGGUGCGGUGGAAACUGGGGUGCUUGAGUGUGGGAGAGGUAAGCGGAAUUCCUGGUGUAGCGGUGAAAUGCGUAGAUAUCUGCAGGAACACCCGUGGCGAAAGCGGCGCGCUGGACCACUACUGACGCUGAGGAACGAAAGCUAGGGGAGCAAACAGG